AACGAACGCUGGCGGCAUGCCUAACACAUGCAAGUCGAACGAGACCUUCGGGUCUAGUGGCGCACGGGUGCGUAACGCGUGGGAACCUGCCUUUAGGUUCGGAAUAACUCAGAGAAAUUUGAGCUAAUACCGGAUAAUGUCUUCGGACCAAAGAUUUAUCGCCUUUAGAUGGGCCCGCGUUGGAUUAGCUAGUUGGUGGGGUAAAGGCCUACCAAGGCGACGAUCCAUAGCUGGUCUGAGAGGAUGAUCAGCCACACUGGGACUGAGACACGGCCCAGACUCCUACGGGAGGCAGCAGUGGGGAAUAUUGGACAAUGGGGCGAAAGCCUGAUCCAGCAAUGCCGCGUGAGUGAUGAAGGCCUUAGGGUUGUAAAGGCUCUUUUACCCGAGAUGAUAAUGACAGUAUCGGGAGAAUAAGCUCCGGCUAACUCCGUGCCAGCAGCCGCGGUAAUGUGACUACUG
This 462-nucleotide ribosomal RNA is filed under the name uncultured bacterium. Its description in RNAcentral is "bacterial SSU rRNA". It matches the Rfam family "Bacterial small subunit ribosomal RNA", at positions 29 to 534 of the family's 1533-position model. The record is from RNAcentral.